This 253-nucleotide ribosomal RNA is filed under the name uncultured bacterium. RNAcentral describes it as "partial 16S ribosomal RNA". It matches the Rfam family "Bacterial small subunit ribosomal RNA", at positions 524 to 776 of the family's 1533-position model. The record is from RNAcentral.
UACAGAGGUCUCAACCGUUGUUCGGAUUCAUUGGGCGUAAGGGGUGCGUAGGCGGUCGCGCAAGUCGGAUGUGAAAUCUCAGGGCUCAACCCUGAAACUGCAUUCGAUACUGCGUGGCUAGAGUGCUGGAGAGGAGACUGGAAUUUACGGUGUAGCAGUGAAAUGCGUAGAUAUCGUAAGGAAGACCAGUGGCGAAGGCGAGUCUCUGGACAGCAACUGACGCUGAGGCACGAAGGCCAGGGGAGCAAACGGG